Podarcis lilfordi (Lilford's wall lizard) is the source of this 85-nucleotide non-coding RNA. The record is from the annotation of a GenBank genome assembly. NCBI's taxonomy places the organism in Eukaryota, Metazoa, Chordata, Lepidosauria, Squamata, Lacertidae.
GGCGGCCCAAAUGGUAGAGGUAAUUCUCAAAGGAUUAUUUUUUUAAAAAAAUCCUUUGAGAAUUACCUCUACCAUUUGGGCUGCC